Molecule: non-coding RNA, 156 nt
Organism: Aedes aegypti (yellow fever mosquito)
Lineage: Eukaryota; Metazoa; Arthropoda; Insecta; Diptera; Culicidae
Source: Rfam
GCCGCUUAAGCCGUGAGCCGUGGCUUUUGGAGAUAUACACAAGUACUGGCAACCCAAGCGGAUGGGCAUUGUCCCGUUCUUCCAGGUCAUCGUCGGCGGAAUGGUGUUUCUGUAUUCCAUCAACUACGGCAAACUGAAGCAUUACAGGAACUACAA